GACGAACGCUGGCGGCGUGCUUAACACAUGCAAGUCGAACGGAAAGGCCCUGCUUUUGUGGGGUGCUCGAGUGGCGAACGGGUGAGUAACACGUGAGUAACCUGCCCUUGACUUUGGGAUAACUUCAGGAAACUGGGGCUAAUACCGGAUAGGAGCUCCUGCUGCAUGGUGGGGGUUGGAAAGUUUCGGCGGUUGGGGAUGGACUCGCGGGUUAUCAGCUUGUUGGUGGGGUAGUGGCUUACCAAGGCUUUGACGGGUAGCCGGCCUGAGAGGGUGACCGGCCACAUUGGGACUGAGGGACGGCCCAGACUCCUACGGGAGGCAGCAGUGGGGAGUAUUGCACAAUGGGCGGAAGCCUGAUGCAGCAACGCCGGGUGCGGGAUGACGGCCUUCGGGUUGUAAACCGCUUUCGCCUGUGACGAAGCGUGAGUGACGGUAAUGGGUAAAGAAGCACCGGCUAACUACGUG
Molecule: ribosomal RNA, 468 nt
Filed under: uncultured bacterium
Lineage: Bacteria
Description: partial 16S ribosomal RNA
Rfam family: Bacterial small subunit ribosomal RNA
Source: RNAcentral